RNAcentral lists this ribosomal RNA (423 nucleotides) under uncultured bacterium. Its description in RNAcentral is "partial 16S ribosomal RNA". It matches the Rfam family "Bacterial small subunit ribosomal RNA", at positions 359 to 774 of the family's 1533-position model. The record is from RNAcentral.
AAACUUUCGCAAUGGACGAAAGUCUGUCGGAGCAACGCCGCGUGAGUGAUGAAGGUCUUCGUUUCGUAUAAACAUCUUUUUAGGGAGGAACAAGUAUCGCUCGAUUAGGGCGGUACCUUGACGGUAUCUAACCAGAAAGCCACGGCUAACUACGUGCCAGCAGCCGCGGGAACACUUAGGUGGGAAGCGUUAUCCGGAAUUAUUUGGCGUAAAGCGAGGGCGGGCGGUUUCUUAAGUCUGAUGUGAAAGACCACGGCUCAACCGUGGAGGGUCAUUGGAAACUGGGAAGCUUGAGUGCAGAAGAGGAGAGUGGAAUUCCAUGUGUAGCGGUGAAAUGCGUAGAGAUAUGGAGGAACACCAGUGGCGAAGGCGACUCUCUGGUCUGGAACUGACGCUGAGGCGCGAAAGCGUGGGGAGCAAACA